Molecule: ribosomal RNA, 69 nt
Filed under: Carnobacterium divergens
Lineage: Bacteria; Bacillati; Bacillota; Bacilli; Lactobacillales; Carnobacteriaceae
Description: partial 16S ribosomal RNA
Rfam family: Bacterial small subunit ribosomal RNA
Source: RNAcentral
UUAUAUGAGAGUUUGAUCCUGGCUCAGGACGAACGCUGGCGGCAUGCCUAAUACAUGCAAGUCGAACGC